AACGAACGCUGGCGGCAGGCCUAAUACAUGUAAGUCGAACGCACCGCAAGGUGAGUGGCAGACGGGUGAGUGACGCGUGGGAACCUUCCUAGUAGUACGGAAUAACUCCGGGAAACCGGUGCUAAUACCGUAUAAGCCCUCCGGGGGAAGAUUAUCGCUACUAGAUGGGCCGCGUCGGAUUAGCUUGUUGGUGAGGUAAUGGCUCACCAAGGCUUCGAUCCGUAGCUGGUCUGAGAGGAUGAUCAGCCACACUGGGACUGAGACACGGCCAGACUCCUACGGGAGGCAGCAGUAGGGAAUAUUGGACAAUGGGCGAAAGCCUGAUCCAGCCAUGCCGCGUGAGUGAAGAAGGCCUUAGGG
RNAcentral lists this ribosomal RNA (360 nucleotides) under uncultured bacterium. Its description in RNAcentral is "bacterial SSU rRNA". It matches the Rfam family "Bacterial small subunit ribosomal RNA", at positions 29 to 422 of the family's 1533-position model. The record is from RNAcentral.